Molecule: ribosomal RNA, 559 nt
Filed under: uncultured bacterium
Lineage: Bacteria
Description: bacterial SSU rRNA
Rfam family: Bacterial small subunit ribosomal RNA
Source: RNAcentral
AAAAUAGAUACCCCCGGUAGUCCACGCCGUAAAACGACUGAGUGCUAAGUGUUAGUAGGGUUUCCGUCCCUUUAGUGCUGCAGCUAACGCAAUUAAGCACUCCGCCUGGGGAGUACGGCCGCAAGGCUGAAACUCAAAGGAAUUGACGGGGGCCCGCACAAGCGGUGGAGCAUGUUAGGUUUAAUUCGAAGCAACGCGAGGAACCUUACCAGGUCUUGACAUCCUCUGCCAACCCUAGAGAUAGGGCGUUUCCCCGUUCGGGGGACAGAGUGACGAGGUGGUGCAGUUGGUUGUCGUCAGCUCGUGUCGUGAGAUUGGUUUGGGUUAACGUCCCGCGAACGUAGCGCUAACCCGUUGAUCUUAGUUGCCUAGCAUUCAGUUGGGCACUCUAAGGUGACUGCCGGUGACAACCGGAGGAAGGUGGGAUGACGUCAAAUCAUCAUCGCCCCGUUAUGACCUGGGCUACGACACGUGCUACAACUGGAUGGUACGAAAGAGCGUGCGAACCCGCGAGGGUAAGCGAAUCUACAUAAACGCAUUCUCAGUUCGGAUUGUACGG